This is a long non-coding RNA of Chlorocebus sabaeus (green monkey), 697 nucleotides long. RefSeq lists it as uncharacterized. The record is from RefSeq and is a predicted model, not a curated record. NCBI's taxonomy places the organism in Eukaryota, Metazoa, Chordata, Mammalia, Primates, Cercopithecidae.
CCGCGGCCGCUUUUGAUUCACGGGGAAGGGAGUGGAGUGAACUGACCCUGACCGCGGCAAGGAAAUGCUAGGUUAACCCUUUUAUGAGUAGGAAGGACAGGGACUAUUGCUUGUCUUGGGAACGACUUGUGUCCCGGUCCUGGUGCGUCCCUUGUUAAUUAAUCUACAUGAGAUCAUCCAAGUCACUGAGCCCGUCUUAUCAAGUCAGCUUCUAUAAAACAGAAACGAGAGAAAGCCUGUCUGCACAGUGAGAGAAUGAAACCAUUACAUUGAAAAAAACAGAGAAGAGAAAGAGGUAGAGACUUCAUCUGAUACAAGCAUGCCUGAAACAAGAGAUACCUGUAUGAUUCCAUCUUCCCAACUAGCAGGCAGUUCUUGUUGAAUUCAAGCAAGUUGAGACCAUCAACCCUUCAACUGAGCCUGCGUGGGUGCGUAAAGUGUGACCUUUUGAUGUCAAAGGCCCAAAACCUGCACCCUCCUUCCAUGCUAAUUCAGCCAUUUUCUGAACAUGCAUCCUAUGAAGAGCCAUGUAGCUCAAUUACACUUGCGCAGAAACCUUGAUUACCUCCCUUUCCCACCUGGCAAUCACCUUUACCCAUACUUCACACCAUCCUGCUUUCUAUCCCCAUAAUUACCCCAAGCCCUCUUUUCAGGGAGGUGGAUUUACGAUUUGUUCUCCUUCUUCUUGCUCAGCAGC